RNA transcript from Eucalyptus grandis, 1353 nucleotides. RefSeq lists it as uncharacterized. The transcript has 2 exons. Lineage: Eukaryota; Viridiplantae; Streptophyta; Magnoliopsida; Myrtales; Myrtaceae. The record is from RefSeq and is a predicted model, not a curated record.
AAUCCCGUCAUUUCGCCCCCCCCGAGCAGGAACAUCAUUUUUAUCGUCGCGCCACGACCCUCCCGACGACCCUUUCGUAUUCCCCACGCUGUCUUUCUCUCCGGAAAAGUCACCGAAUUCGAGAGAGCGAGAGAGAGAGAAAGUUUCGAUUUUUAGUGGAGGAGGAGGAGGAGGAGGAGGAGGAGGAGAGAUCUGGUCUCAGGGGUCCGCCGUCGUCGAUGGCGGGCGGGUGGGUCAAGUCGCUGCACUGCAAGUCCAGAGCGUUCGACGACGUCCAUCACGGCCAGUACCAGAAACGCUUGCUCCCUUCCUCCUCUUCGUCCUCUGCCUCUUCUUCUUCUUCUUCUUCUUCUUCGUUGUACUCUUCCAGCUGCAGAAAGAGCGCCCAGACCAUCAAGGACGUCAUCGACAUCGCCAAGCAACAGCGACCCAAGAAGCCCCGGCCCAGGCUCAAGCCCGCCCCCCGCCCCCGCCCCCGCGCCGAAGCUCCCGCAGAAAGCGAAGGCGGAAGCGUGCCCCAACGCGACCCGACGCUGCCCGCCGUGUACCCGGCGCUGACCGAGCUGCCGGAGGGCCACCCGUCGCGGAACGUGGUGGAGAUCAUCUUCCACACGAGCUGGGGGCCGAAGCCGUUCGCGGGCGGGAUCGACGUGAUCCUCAAGGUGCAGAACGGGCAGCGGACGGCGGCCCGGUUCGAGGAGUACCGGGAGCUGGUGAAGUCGCGGGCCGGGUCGGGCGACCCCAGGGGACGAGGACGCGCGGUGCGCCGCCGACGGGAACGAGAUGAUGCGGUUCCGCUGCAUGGGCCCCACGGCGCGCGAGGGGGCGCGUGGGACUGCAGCGCGGGGUGGGCGGUCGGGUGGGGCGGCGGCUGCGUCGGCGGCGCCGGCAAGGGGGCGGCGAUCUGCACGUUCGACGGCAGCGGGCGCGCCCACGAGAGCGCGGGGGAGGGAGGGGGAGGCGGGCCAUGCUGGUGUGCCGGGUCAUAGCCGGCCGGGCAUCCAAGAAACUCGGCCUCGAACCCUUCCCGGACGGCGGCGUCACGUACGACUCGGUGAGCGGGGACGACGGCGAGUUGCUAGUGUUCGAUCCUCGGGCCGUGUUGCCCUGUUUCCUCAUCAUCUAUAGGUUGUAAAAAGAUCCAUCAUGUCCGACAUAAUUCUUCGCAAUGUCAAAUUGAUUUUCCACCGCAUUCUACGUUUCUCCCAUGAUUAUCGUCGAGGGAACUUCUUUUUUUGGUUCUGUUCCUAUUUCCUUCCUUUUCCAAGGAUUAGAUCUUAUGGGAUUAAGAUUAAGCGUGUAAGUGAAAGUGCAGAUCUUGAAUACGAGUGCAAACUUCCCAGGCCUUGUUCA